AAAGAAAACAACAACAAAAGUAAGAAAAGACACGGAAGGCACUAACAACAAAGUAGGGAGAGGAGACUUAGAAAACAGUAACGUCUCCCCAAAACCCCAUCCAGAGAAAGUUUUCCUCUCGGGUGUCUCGGGCUAAAAAAAGUAAACAGGAAAAAGGUUUUAAAUUGAUUAUCCCAGUGACAAAUCCCAGGAAGCUUUCAAAUCAAAUUGCCCCAUUUUAGGUUUUUAACUCCUUCUGUCAAGUUUAACCUCUUUACCUCCUGCAUCCUGGUGAAACCCUCCCCAGCCCCCCUCGCUGGUGAUUAAAUCCCGAAGGUACACGCAGUCUUUCAGGGAGUGAAUGGCCCACAGAAAGAGCCCUCCCGCUCCCCCCAGCUGUGGUUUUCAGUUUUAUUCCACUUUCCGCCCUCUUCCCUUAAUGAACACAGGGCUAAUCUUGGGCCUUGUCAAGGAAGAGGCUGCAGACAUUAAUGAGGUAACUGCUGGACUCCAAUAUUCGUCUCAUAAGGAGCCCUUCUUUGUCUGUGAAGGAAAAACACACUGAUUAUCAUAAUGAGGUGAGCUAGCGUCCGCAGGCAGGGGCGACCG
RNAcentral lists this long non-coding RNA (588 nucleotides) under Lynx pardinus (Iberian lynx). The record is from RNAcentral. Lineage: Eukaryota; Metazoa; Chordata; Mammalia; Carnivora; Felidae.